Molecule: long non-coding RNA, 1676 nt
Filed under: Sorghum bicolor (sorghum)
Lineage: Eukaryota; Viridiplantae; Streptophyta; Magnoliopsida; Poales; Poaceae
Description: long non-coding RNA (SBIC_LNC013699)
Source: RNAcentral
GUACUGACAACACCCUCCUCGACAUCCAGAAUACGCAAGCGGAACAUGGAUGACUCCUGGAACAGCAACAAAAAUGGAACCAGGACCACGCCACUACAGUACAAGAACUGAGACAAGACACCACGACAAUGAACGACAACAUCACCACCAUGAUGCGAUUCUGGAACAUUGGGUAAGAUCGACAACCACAUCCAGCUCGGGGGAGUUCCUCCCCGUUUUAUCAAGUAAGUUUUUAUUUGCUUUUCUUAUUUAUUCUUUUCUAUUUUCUCGCUUUAAAUUACUACAUUUUAUAAAUAUGAAAACAAAAUAAAAAGAGUGUGUAGAUAAGUGUGCUUUAUUUUCCUGUUAAGUGUUAAUCUCCAGAAAAAUAAAAAGACCAAAAAGAUGCAUGAUGGAAAUGAUGAACGGUUGCUCUGUUUGCUUACUUUCAAGUACCUAGCUUUUAUAUCAGAAUUCUUCCAGGAAUUACAAAAACUAAAAUUUACUAUCUAUGGGAAGCAUGAACCUAAAACUAAAGUCUAGGUAAGAUAAAGGCAUAAUAUAAAGUUUGAGCUACUAUUUAUCUUGUUCCUACUACACUAAGUUCUAGAGAUUUGUUUUGAAACUUACAAAUCACAUGAUGAGUUCCUAGCAUUACAAACUUCCUACCACAACCAUACUUGCUAUAACAUCUUUUCCUACUUAUUCACAUUGAGUUUGAUCGAGCUGUGUAGACCCUUAGGAGCUUUUCAUGUGGUUAAAUUAAGAUAUUCACUUGCACACAUCUAUUAUACCAUUUACCACCAUGCAUUAAAAUUGCUAAAAAUAAUAUUAUCACUCACUGUCCCAAGUGUUGUUAUUCUCUCUCUCCAAAAAGAUUCAAUGCAGAAGAGGCAUGGGUUAUGCAAAAAUAUGGGAGGAAAUAAAAAGGGGCAAGUGCCCGGAACCUCGAAAAAGAAAGAAAAAGAGUGAGACGAGAGGUAAAAAUGGACAAGUGUCCGGAGUAAAAUUAGGGGUACAAAGAUGCCCACCUGAGCGGAAAAAACGGACAAGUGUCCGACAGUAGAAUUAGAGGUAUUUACUACCCACCUGAAAAAAAAGAAAAGAAAAAGAUAGCCCAUGUUCUCCCAAAGCAAAGAUCAAGAGGAGGAGAGAUAGCAAUAUGGGGAGCAAUGAGAAGUAAGUUUUAUCAUCACUAUACAUUUUUACCAUCACUAUCAUUUACUCCACCACACAUACACAUCUUGAUUUAAUUAUAUGUUGAGUUCCUUUGGAUCCAUUGCUCGAUUAGACAACAUAUGUAUGAGCUGUUUUUUCACUCCUAUUAGCUCCACUUAAAUAUUCCAUAUAGGUAAGUGACAUUUUUGGUAAGGAUCCACAAAUACCACAUAUAGAGAGACUUGAGAAAAUCAUUGCUGGGAACUCUGAGUUUUAUUUUGAAAACUUAUGAAAAACUCUGGAACAAAGGUGAAGUAUAGAUAGGAGGAAUAGUGCUUGACUUAAUUAUUUUGUCUUUCGAUUACUUAAGACUCAAGUGCAGGUACUAAGCUCCAUGACACUUCACUCUAAUCUGGAAGAAUUUUUAUGUGAAAGCAUAUGUGCCUGUCAGAAAAGAAAACAUCGAAGCAACUCCUGAUGAGUUUAGCUGUUUGCUCAGGGACGAGCAAAGGGUAAGCUUGGGGGAGUUUGUUGACGGU